AGAGUAGGGAAGGAAAGGUAGAAUGAAUGUAGGGGUGGGGGAGGGAAAAGGAGAGAGAGAGAAAGAGAGAGAGAGAGUUCUGAGGACUGAGGGAUGCACAAGUCUGAUGGGAUGGAGUUAGGGCCAGAGGGUACCUGGCAUCUAAGAGUUACUCAAUGGAGUUAUUUUUAUCUUUUCAUGAAAAAAGUAUCACCGCUGUGACCUCUUGGAGGUUCACGGUUUCUUGGACCUAGGCCAUAUGUGGAUUCUGGGGCGGGCAAGAGCAGGAGAGCAAAGUGAGCCCACCAAGGGUGCUGAGAGGAUGGAUGUGAGUGGGAACCAAGGCGGGAGGAACAGCGGAGGCAGGCUGCUCUGCAGAGGGCUCUCUGGGACAGGAAUUCCCCAGAGGGACCCUGGAGGCCUUGACGCGUGACCAGCACUGAGGAAGAGCUCAACCCUUUGGAAGCCAGCUGUGGGAGAACCUUCACGAAUGUACACGUCUCCGUGACGAUGACUGACCAAACCCUUUGAGAACCGUCUGAAUAGACGUACUACAGUAGCCAGGAUGCCUUACAUGAUGUGAUGACCAUCCACUACCCACUGGAGAGUGGUCAACCUACCAUAAAUCACACCCCUAAAGGAAAUGGACUCUUCCAGAAGCUACCUGCUGCCAGCAGCUCCUCAGUGUGUGUGGGGUGGGGCCUUGUGCCUCCUUUCCUUACCGUGCUGGGGUUCGGUAUGGCAUGAGCUGAGACAGGUCUUAUGCAUGCUGUCAUAACUGCUGUUGCUGCCCACCUUUGAUUCGUAUGUACAACUCAUACGUGGUUUACCGACCGCCACCUGUUGCUGGCCCUGGAGAUGUGCUGCUUCAGUUUCGACCUGUGCAUCACCCCCGACGAUGUAGGGAAAGCAAGAAACGAUGGGACGUUAAGCUGCACUAUCCGAGGACCAGCGCUGGAGGCCUUCACACAAACGCCUGGAAGGCCUCUAGAUCGACUGCAUGGCUGUCUCAGCGGCAUCUCCCCCAUCUCCAGAAGCAAUUGUAUGCCAGUGCACAGGGGCUGUAGGAAGGAUCAAUGCAAAGUGAAGGGGGAGGGGGAGAUAUGUGUCAGCAGAGGUGGGUCUCCCACGAGAAAACACCGAGCAGAAAGCCGUCUGAAGCUGAAGGAGCCAGACUUACCUGGUGAUGCUCAAGACACUUGCCACAAAAGAUGAAUGAAUGAGACGGGAAGGGCCAUCUUUCGCAUAAGAAUAUUACUAGAUGGUGGUUUGUGUUUCUGUUAGAAACACUUGGGUAGGCAAACCUCUCCAGUCUGUUUCUUAAGUUUUUGUUAAUGUUUCAUGGUAGAAAUGUUAUGUUUUCAAAAUGUCCGUGUGACUUCCUACUUAAUGUUGGUAAAAAGUAUCUAGCCGUGUUUUCACAGUAAUUUUGUUUCUGUUGUUUUUACUUUAAAUAGACAGAUAUAGAAGAAACCCAAAGUAGAACAAAUUUUACUAAUGAGUUUAAGCUAGCUUAAAUCUCAAAACAGUUGUGUCUCGUGAAAUGAGAUGCAAUUAACUCCGUGCUGUCAUGCAAUCUGUCAUUGCAUAACAGGAAUGUGUUUCCGUUGUUUCAGUCAUUAGGUGCUGCUUAGCACUACCGUCAGUGUCCUGAGUGAGGUACUCAGGCAGAUGGAAGAGUCAGGCUCAACAUACGUGUGCACGCCUGUGCUCUCUCUCUCUCAAACGCUUACGAGGGCCCAGCAGAAAGUGAGAUUGAAAGUUGGUGGUGCAUGCCUGCAAUCCCAGCCCUUGGGGGAGAGGAGACACUCAAGGAUAUCUUGGGCUACAGUGUGUUCUAGACCAGCCUGGGCCACUUGAAACCUUGUCUCAAACCACAAUAGUAACAACAACAGCUACGAAAAGCAAACCAGAAGUCAGAAACUACCCAAACCAAAGAAGGAACAGCGUGAUAGGACCCCCCUGCUCCCCAGGGCUGGAGAUGAGCCCAGGGCUUCACACAUGCUAGGCAAGGCGCCACCGCUGAGCCCAGUGUGCAUACUUUCCUACAGUUCUUAGAGGCAAUCUAUUUUGGUGUCACAGGAGGACAGAACAGGCUUUUAUACAGGACUAGAGAAACCCUAUUUAUACAAAGCUAAAAAGAGCCAUGUUUCUAUAAAGUCCAUGUGCUUCUAGGUCCAGAUGCCCAGGACCCAGUUCUCAGCAUCAAAGACAAGACAAGAAGUGACUGAGGUGAGAGUCACAGACUCACCAUUUCAUCUCAUCCCAGCAGGAGCUUGGGCUGUUUGAGAGAAUGAGUUUGUGCAUGGAAAAGAUAUAAGCUGUACGUGUUUGUGGGUCUGGGGAAAGUGAACCUCCACUAUGGAGAGGAAUAUAUGUGAUGGAAACAGAUGCUGGCCGCAGCAUCUCCCCCCAUGUUAUUUGUAAGGAGGAAAGUGUAGCAGGAGGAAGAGGGGAGUCAAACACGGUGAAAUUCACUGUGUUGUGAAUUCUAAAAGUUGGUUUCUGUUUCUAUAUUGUAUUGUAUUUAUUUUGCAUUAGUUUUAAAAUUAUUAAACAAAACGUAAACAGGCAUCACAUAAAAGACACUCAAGCUUAAAAGGUAUCUAUUUAAUUAUUUGUGUGUGUGUGUUUGUGUGUGUGUGUGUGUGUGUGUGUGUGUGCCACAGUGUGUGUGUCAAAUGACAACUUGUCAGGGUCAGUUCUCCCCUUUCACCAUGUGGCAUCCAGGGAUUGAACUCAGGUUGUCAGGCUAAGUGGCAAGUACCUUUACCCCCUGAGCAAUCCCUCUCACCCAAGAAUUGCUCUUCUCGAUGCAGGAAUUUCACUGUGCUUCCCAGGCUGAUCUUGAACUUAUGGUGGGCUCAAGUGACCUUUCUGUCUGGUGCCCUGAGCUUGUAGGUUUUGAGUUUAGCUACUGAGCUAUGCUUCCAGUCUAGUAGAAAGGAAUGACAUCCACGUACUAUAAUACAGUCCUGCUUGAACAUUACAAAUGCUCAGGUCCAAAGACAGACAGACAGAUAGACGGACAAAAAGACAAGGUUGCUUAUAUCCUUUGGGCUUAAUUUGCUGUUGGUCAUAUAUGUCAAGAAAGUAAUCCAUUUCUAUUAAUAUUAUUAUUAUUAAUUUGUUUUUUGAGACAGAGCCUCUUUAUGUAACUGGCUGUUUUGGAACUCACUAUGUAGGUUGGCUUUCAACUCCCCUGCCUCUGUCUCCUAAAUUCUGGGAUUAAAAGCAUGCAUCACCAUAUCUGGCCAGCCAUUUCUUUUAAGUGUUUUUUUAAUUUAUUGGAAUAUAGAUUUUUAAAAAAUAUUUUCUGAUGACCCUCUGCAGGUCGUUGGUAUCUGUUGUAACGUAUUUUAUCUCUAAUUUUAUUUAUUUAUUAAACUAUUUUAAAGUUUA
Meriones unguiculatus (Mongolian gerbil) is the source of this 3381-nucleotide long non-coding RNA. RefSeq lists it as uncharacterized. The transcript is spliced from 3 exons. The record is from RefSeq and is a predicted model, not a curated record. NCBI's taxonomy places the organism in Eukaryota, Metazoa, Chordata, Mammalia, Rodentia, Muridae.